Non-coding RNA from Nerophis ophidion (straightnose pipefish), 73 nucleotides. The record is from the annotation of a RefSeq genome assembly. Lineage: Eukaryota; Metazoa; Chordata; Actinopteri; Syngnathiformes; Syngnathidae.
GCUGAAAUAGCUCAAUUGGGAGAGCGUUAGACUGAAGCUCUUAAGGUACCUGGCUCGACCCCGGGUUUCAGCA